Molecule: ribosomal RNA, 921 nt
Filed under: Triticum aestivum (bread wheat)
Lineage: Eukaryota; Viridiplantae; Streptophyta; Magnoliopsida; Poales; Poaceae
Description: partial small subunit ribosomal RNA
Source: RNAcentral
AUGGCACCCGGACCGGCCUCCCGCGCACACAUAGAGGAACGGGGCCCUUGCCUUCGUCCCCGGCCGGCCUCUCCUUCCUCCGUCCCGUUCGCCUCCUCCCUCAACCACGCCGGCCACCGGAGCCGUUGCCGGCUGCUGCCCUCCGUCGCGCCAUCCAUCCGUCCAUCUCCCUGUGCCGCGCCUCGACAACACGAAGGCCCGAGCUUCGGCUGGGAGCAGCCGCAGCUACGUGGCGCCCCGCCACCAAGCAGUCGUGCAUCAACGACCAUCUCUCCUCCACCAUCAGUGCCCGGCGACUCCGUUCCGUGCCUUGCUGCUGCUGCAGGCCAUGAGCUCUCCGGCUACCGCAGGAACGCCAUGGUCAAGACCACCUCCGCGAGGAACGCAAGACGCAUCCUCCGUGCACCCCCGCCUGUGGCUGUUAACGUCAAGACAAUCUCGGUUUUCGCCAAGCACCACCACCGGCAAGUACAACUACACCACGUUGAUACAAGUCCCACUACCGUCGCCUCCGGAAGCCUCGGAUCCGUCAAGUCCCUCGACGACAAGUGCAUGACUAUGCGGAUUGUACGAAGUACCCCUUUCGAGUUGACGGGAUCGGCAAGUGUGAAACACCAAGUACCACGACGACCAUCGACAUGUACCCCUACACCACACGGAAACGCCAAGUACCCCUCAUGUCGGCAAGACCCGCAAGUCGGACCCCGAACGAUCGACGACUCGUGGACCGUGUACAACUACCGUCGCCCCGAGGAUGUUGGAUUCGUUAAGUACCUCACCGAAAACGAAAUGUAUACCGCUACCGUCACAAGAAUCAAGACCGACAAGUCUGAAGAUGCAAGUACCACUCCGAACCAUUUACGACGACCGUCGCCGAAGACCCGUGUAACGCAAAUGUCAAGUUCAACUACCGUCGCGUGA